GGAAUAUUGGACAAUGGGCGAAAGCCUGAUCCAGCAAUGCCGCGUGAGUGAUGAAGGCCUUAGGGUUGUAAAGCUCUUUUGCCCGGGAUGAUAAUGACAGUACCGGGAGAAUAAGCCCCGGCUAACUCCGUGCCAGCAGCCGCGGUAAUACGGAGGGGGCUAGCGUUAUUCGGAAUUAUUGGGCGUAAAGCGCGCGUAGGCGGCCAGGUAAGUCAUGGGUGAAAUCCCUCGGCUCAACCGAGGAAUUGCCUUUGAAACUACCUGGCUCGAGGCCGGGAGGGGGUAGCGGAAUUCCCAGUGUAGCGGUGAAAUGCGUAGAUAUUGGGAGGAACACCGGUGGCGAAGGCGGCUACCUGGACCGGUUCUGACGCUGAUGCGCGAAAGCGUGGGGAGCAAAC
Molecule: ribosomal RNA, 398 nt
Filed under: uncultured bacterium
Lineage: Bacteria
Description: bacterial SSU rRNA
Rfam family: Bacterial small subunit ribosomal RNA
Source: RNAcentral